RNAcentral lists this ribosomal RNA (440 nucleotides) under uncultured Allostella sp. RNAcentral's name for it is "bacterial SSU rRNA". It matches the Rfam family "Bacterial small subunit ribosomal RNA", at positions 338 to 795 of the family's 1533-position model. Lineage: Bacteria; Pseudomonadati; Pseudomonadota; Alphaproteobacteria; Rhodospirillales; Allostellaceae. The record is from RNAcentral.
CCUACGGGGGGCUGCAGUGGGGAAUAUUGGACAAUGGGGGCAACCCUGAUCCAGCAAUGCCGCGUGAGUGAUGAAGGCCUUCGGGUUGUAAAGCUCUUUCGCCCACGACGAUGAUGACGGUAGUGGGAGAAGAAGCCCCGGCUAACUUCGUGCCAGCAGCCGCGGUAAUACGAAGGGGGCUAGCGUUGUUCGGAAUGACUGGGCGUAAAGGGCGCGUAGGCGGCGCAUCAAGUCGGGCGUGAAAGCCCCGGGCUCAACCUGGGAACUGCGUUCGAGACUGGUGUGCUAGAGUUCGGGAGAGGAGAGUGGAAUUCCCAGUGUAGAGGUGAAAUUCGUAGAUAUUGGGAAGAACACCAAUGGCGAAGGCAGCUCUCUGGACCGAUACUGACGCUGAGGCGCGAAAGCGUGGGGAGCAAACAGGAUUAGAUACCCCAGUAGUC